This 577-nucleotide long non-coding RNA is filed under the name Mytilus galloprovincialis (Mediterranean mussel). Lineage: Eukaryota; Metazoa; Mollusca; Bivalvia; Mytilida; Mytilidae. The record is from RNAcentral.
AAGCUCCCUUUCAAUUUUUAUAAAUUUCAGAUUUUCAGUUUUGGAUUUAUGGGGCUUUAUUCAUAAAAAAAAGGGGAUUUUCAACACUUCGGACAAUAACUCAAAAAGGCUUUCACCAAUGUCCAUGAAACUUUGGUGAAUUGUUUAUAUCUAUUGAUGUAAGCUCCCUUUCAAUUUUAUAAAUUUCAGAUUUUAAGUUUUGAAUUUAUGGGGCUUUAUUCAUAAAAAAAAGGGGGAUUUUCAACACUUCGGACAAUAACUCAAAAAGGCUUUCACCAAUGUCCAUGAAACUUUGGUGAAUUGUUUAUAUCUAUUGAUGUAAGCUCCCUUUCAAUUUUUAUAAAUUUCAGAUUUUAAGUUUUGGAUUUAUGGGGCUUUAUUCAUAAAAAAAAGGGGGAUUUUCAACACUUCGGACAAUAACUCAAAAAGGCUUUCACCAAUGUCCAUGAAACUUUGGUGAAUUGUUUAUAUCUAAUGAUGUAAGCUCCCUUUCAAUUUUUAUAUAAAUUUCAGAUUUUCAGUUUUGGAAUUUAUGGGGCUUUAUUCAUAAAAAAAAGGGAUUUUCAACACUUCGGAC